RNA transcript from Globicephala melas (long-finned pilot whale), 17838 nucleotides. It is a transcript of the gene named potassium voltage-gated channel modifier subfamily G member 2, with no coding region annotated. The record is from RefSeq and is a predicted model, not a curated record. NCBI's taxonomy places the organism in Eukaryota, Metazoa, Chordata, Mammalia, Artiodactyla, Delphinidae.
CAAGCUUGUGUAAUUCCACUCCUAGAGGAACGGCUACUGAUUCGUUAGGAUAUGUCCUUCUUUCAGGGUUUAUAUACAGAAUUACCACCCACAGUCCCACGUACACACACUCUCACACAAGCAUUUGGGAUCAUUUUAUGUCUUCAUGUUUUCACUUGUUAAAUUGAAUAUUUUGGGGUGGAUUUGUCAAAAUGUGUUUUUUGUUUCCUUCUAUUGUUGGCCAUGUGGGUUGUUUCUCAUUUCUCAAUAUUCUAUAAUAGACAUCUUUAUCUUCAGAAGGCGUUUCAUUUGGUCACAGCUCUCAGGCUUUUCAUCCAUGACGCCAGAUGGUUUCUCGGGAAAGUUGUGCUGGAGUUCCCUGCACAUCACCUUGACUCUCAUCACAUUUCGAAUCUUAAUCUCUGCGUUUCCAAUGCCAAGGUCUUUCUGUCGGAAGGGACUUGGGUCUGGACACCUGUUGGAGCUCGUCCUUGCCCAGGGCAGAGCCGGCCGGCUGCUGGAGACUCUGACCGCUGCACCUUCACCACAGCCCAGACCCUUGGCACCAAGUUCGGCUACGGGAUUAGGGGUGGACAUGGUUCGCACCCGUCGUGAAGCCCGCCCCCCUCUCGAUGACGUGGUAGCCAGCACCGUGCGGAUGUCUUGUGUUCCGACGGCCCAGCCUCCGGACCCUGGUGUGGCGCAUGGGGCCAUGGCCCUGCUCCCCGGGCCCGCGGAGCCCCCGGGCCCCGAGCCCCCGGUUGGCGGCGGCGGCGGCGGCGGCGGCAGCGGCAGCGGCGGCGUUGGCGGGGCCCGCGCCCGGCACGUCAUCAUCAACGUGGGCGGCUGCAGGGUGCGCCUGGCCUGGGCCGCGCUGGCCCGCUGUCCCCUGGCGCGCCUCGAGCGCCUCCGCGCCUGCCGCGGCCACGACGAGCUGCUGCGCGUGUGCGACGACUACGACGUGAGCCGCGACGAGUUCUUCUUCGACCGCAGUCCGUGCGCCUUCCGCGCCAUCGUGGCGCUGCUGCGCGCCGGGAAGCUGCGGCUGCUGCGCGGCGCGUGCGCCCUGGCCUUCCGCGACGAGCUGGCCUACUGGGGCAUCGACGAGGCGCGCCUGGAGCGCUGCUGCCUGCGCCGCCUGCGCCGCCGCGAGGAGGAGGCCGCCGAGGCGCGCGCGGGGCCGGCGGAGCGCGGGGGCCCCGGCAGCCCGGCCUGCGCCCCUGGGUCCGGCGGCGGGCGGCUGGCGCGCGGCCGGCGGCGCCUGCGCGACGUGCUGGACGACCCGCGCUCGGGCCCGGCCGGCAAGCUCUUCGCCUGCGUGUCCGUGGCCUUCGUGGCCGUCACGGCGGUCGGCCUCUGCCUCAGCACCAUGCCCGACAUCCGCGCCGAGGAGGAGAGGGGCGAGUGCUCCCCCAAGUGCCGCAACCUAUUUGUGCUGGAGACGGUGUGCGUGGCCUGGUUCUCCUUCGAGUUCCUGCUGCGCUCGCUGCAGGCUGAGAGCAAGUGUGCCUUCCUGCGGACACCGCUCAACAUCAUCGACAUCCUGGCCAUCCUGCCCUUCUACGUGUCGCUGCUCGUGGGCCUGGCGGCGCGGCCGGGCGCAGGCGGCAACAAGCUGCUGGAGCGCGCGGGGCUGGUGCUGCGGCUGCUGCGCGCGCUGCGCGUGCUCUACGUGAUGCGCCUGGCGCGCCACUCGCUGGGGCUGCGCUCGCUCGGCCUGACCGUGCGCCGCUGCGCACGCGAGUUCGGGCUGCUUCUGCUCUUCCUCUGCGUGGCCAUGGCCCUCUUUGCGCCACUCGUGCACCUGGCCGAGCGCGAGCUGGGCGCGCGCCGCGACUUCUCCAGCGUGCCAGCCAGCUACUGGUGGGCCGUCAUCUCCAUGACCACCGUGGGCUACGGCGACAUGGUGCCGCGCAGCCUCCCCGGGCAGGUGGUGGCGCUCAGCAGCAUCCUCAGCGGCAUCCUGCUCAUGGCCUUCCCGGUCACCUCCAUCUUCCACACCUUCUCGCGCUCCUACUCGGAGCUCAAGCAGCAGCAGCAGCGCGCCGCCAGCCCCGAGCCCGCCCUGCGCGAGGACAGCACGCACUCCGCCUCUGCCUGCGCCUCCGUCGCGGAGGACGACGGCUCGCAGGGCCCCGACGGUGCCGGCCCGACCGGGGACUCCGCGGCCGCGCUGUGGGCAUCCGCGGGGCCGCCCUGACCCGGCGGGGACGCGGCACCGGCGAAGAGGCUGCUGCCCUGGAGCUCCAGGACCAGAACCGCAUUCUCGCCUCCCGCUGCGCACGGAGGGACGGGGACGACUUUGGGGGCCCGGCUCCCUUUGCCAUGCAUGUUGCUCGCUCCGCACAACCCAGAACUUGGCCCGGGGCUGACCCCGGCCUGAGUCGGGGGGUCACAGCCAUCCUGUACUUUCCAAGAGUUGAACUCCAAGGAGCGUCACCAGCCUGUCCUCCGCUUUCCUUCUGCCUCUGGACUUUUGACUCCGUGAUGGCCAGCUAAAAGUAAAUUCAGCGAUCCCAGAAGCUCCAAGCCUGUAGCUCGUCCCCAGGCCUCACUUUGACCUUCCCCUGCGCGUCACUGGUGGGGGUGGGGCGCAGUGGGGCUGGGAGAGGGCACAGUCCCUUCCUGCGCCCGCCGUGUCACCCACAGUGGGCCAUGCCCAUCAGAGGGGGUCUCCUCAUCACGCCUGCAGAAGCCCACAUCGCUGCCGAGCGAUAGGGACAGAGGUGUGACACUGAUGCUCACAGCACGCCAGUUCCUUCGGGGGAGGGAGGGAGGUCCCAGCCCUGACCUCUGACCUUCCUUCCCCGGCACAAGCUCCGUGGGGAUCUUCCGGGAUCCCUCCUCAUCUGUUCGCCCCUGAAAAUGCCCGGCAAAGCUGAAGGCCUGCAUGUCAGCCGGCCCCACCCUCCCCUCGGGCGCCCCGGCCCCGCCCGGGGUGACUGAGCUGCUUCUCUGGAGGCCAGAGGAAUCUGUGCUCUUCACAUCGCUCGUCACCCAGCACAGCUGGUCGUCCGGGAAGAACUGCUUCCUCCUGCGGCGCGGGGAGGCCUCGCCGAUUUUCCCUCCAAGGGUUCGGUCAGCGGUGGAGUAACCCAAGGCAGCUGUCCUCUGUCCUCCCCCACCCCACCCCGCUGCAGUGGCUCUGAGGGCACCCAGGCGCCCUGAAAGACCAGAGGCCACCUCGGGUCACGGGAUGGGGUGCCCGUCGGCCAUCCUGCUGGGAACCGCGGGUGUGUGGGGAGGGGCGGAGCACACCCACUGCCCACCGCGCGGGCGGAGCGCCAGCCGCUGGCUUGUCUGUUCCGUCUCCCCACCGCCACCCCGACCCCCCCCCAACACCGUCCCUCCAGCUGCGCUCUGGAAGGCUCCGCUGGCUGUGGCCUCGGUUGCCCAUCGGGCUUGGGGGCCGGGAACUGGCCAGGUCCCCGCCGGCCUGCUCCCUCAUGCACGCCAAGGAAACCCAGCCUGGAGACACUCCUAUGGGACAGCUCUGUGCGUCUCCCGCAAGACGUGGUGUUGCCAUCGCUGCCCCCUUGGCCACCUGCUGAAAACGCUCGAAAGCACUGCAGGAGGGAGGACAGGAGACUGAGUUUGCGAAUGCAGCUGUCUCAACUCCCCAAGUGCUGUGCAGAGAGCAAAGGUCAGUUCCCGCCGACUCACGACUCGCUCGCGCGGGGGCACAGGGUUUGCUCUGGCCACCAAACCAGUGGGCAGGCUGAGUGGGCCAGGCACACCCCUUUGCACCUGAGUUUCCCCAUCGGUACAACCACAGUGAUCCAGAAGAGCCCUCUGGCUCCACAGCCCCAAGAUGCAGGAUCCUGGUCCCCGCCAGAGCUGUCUGGUUGACCCCAAAACGUCUGCAAAGCGUUUAGGGGGUGACUUGCGUCUGUGACAUCCCAGGAAUCAGCCAGCGCUCCCCUUCCCCUCAGGGCUGCUUUCUGCACAGGCUGUGCAUCCUCCCUUGGGCCCUGACGGGCCCUCCCCCACCCCCAGCUGACCCGCGUGUGCCACUCAGACUGAACAGGGCAGCUCCAGGGCUGAACAUGCUCCACUGUCAAUGUUGAGGGUUGGAAACCCCCAUAUUUGCUUCCAAAAUAGCCCCAAUUCCUGUACUCCUUAUCUUUGGGGAAAAUGCAUCCCCCGCCUCUGUGUGCGCGCGCGCGCACACACACACACACAGACACACACACACACACACACAGUUUCUUCCUGGCCAGCUGGAUACCAGGGCUGGGGUGGUGAGGGCAGCUCGAGAGCUGUGGGCAGGGUGCCGGCACCGUUUGCAGCUCUUUAUCUGCUCAGAGCUUUCAGAAGCUCAACUGAACGAGAUGAACUUUCUCACGCACCCCAGGAGCUGGGGCAACAGCACCAUUUUGUUCCCAUUUCCAAAAUGCUAUCCUCGUUGAGAGGAAGAGCUAUAAAAAUAAACAGGACAUUUAGGGUUUGGGGGAAAAAGUGACCUUCUUCAUAUAUUUUUUUCACUGGAAGCCCUGCUUCUCGUGGGGCUAUUAAACGUCUGCCCUUUCCCCGGUGGAUGGCUGUGCCCAGAGCUCGGGGUCAGCGCUCUCUUGGCCGGGGCAGCAGCUGGGCCUGUGAAACAGCUCUCUCUUCUGUGUCUGAAGGGCAGCUCCAGGGCUCGCUCCCCAGAGGAACACAGGAGCCUGUUCGGUGCCAUUUCCCGGCUCAGCAGUGAAGUCCCCAAAAGAAAUACUCUCCACGAAAAAAGAACUGCUCGGUACAAAGGGAUCCAACCCUACUUGCUAUACGGAAUUACCGGUUUUCCUCGAAACACUUCUUCUGGCCUUGAAAGGAGACACUCCCCAACCUUUUGAGGCACCCCCUUGUUAAGGGAACUGUGUGAACUGGCGGAGACCAGGGCGCCACCACCUCCCCCCGCCUGGCCCUGCUGGCACAGGACGGUCACUGUCCCCGGGGGCCUGAGGGAGCAGCCCCGGUCUCACAGGGGCCACAACUGUCCCCCACGGAGGAGACGCUGGCCCAGCCCUUCCCUGGGGUCCCCUGAGGUGAAUGAGGACGAGACCGGCCCUUUACUCUGCCCUGGACCCCCCACUCCGACUCCACUCACAAGGCCACGCUGGAUCCAUGAGCAGUUUAUUGAAUUAAAGCCACCGACAGAAUCAGCAGUGCUCCCACACGUGGCAUGUAGGUCACCCCUGCAACUGGUAACGCUUUAAUUUGGAGGCAAUGACUGCUACAGACAUCUCCUUUCAUUUUUAAAAAGUAAACGUUUUCAAAGCAUCUUGCAGGCCAGAGAACUAAGCAGGAUCCUCAAACAUUCAGGAGUUUUUGAGGAAAACUCAGGAGGAGGAAACGGCUCCGCACGCCGUGCACUGGCCACGGCAGACGCUGCAGCUUUGGCACCAGCCCCAGGACCGUGGACACUACAGAGCCACCCCUCUGCCUGGGGGAAGGAAAAGCGCCUGCGGGAGCCGUGUGGAAGCAUCUAAACACUUGCCCUGCGGGGCCCGGAGUUGGAGCAGGGCCGCUGGGCACGGCUGAGAUGCUCGUGUAAACCGAAGGGGGACCAGUGUCAGACCAGCACCCCACCACCACCAGGCACAGCGGAUGCGGAGGGCUGCACAGGAGGAGGGUGGCGGCAGGGACGCCCUGCACAGCAUGGGGGAACACCUGCCUCGCUGUCCCCUGCCCUGACCCGCAGGCAUCUCCAGGCCUGGAAGACAGAUACCUAAGGCCAUAUCUGCAAGCACACGGUUCCCAGAGGAAAGGGAUGCCUGUGCAGUAGCCCUCCGUGGGGAUGGCCAGUGGGUCUGCCCGGCCCCAGGCCCAGGCCCUCAGCCUUCCCAGGCAGCCCCGGGGGCUGCUGCACCCGCCAUGCCCCAGCACCCGCAGAGACCCCAGGCCCCGCUCCCAACACCCUGGGGCUCACACUGGCCAGAGCCCGGCUGGAGACGGUGUGUCCACGGCAGCCUGCCCAGGAGGGGCCGGCAGAGCAGCGAGGCCACUGGGGGCCCUGGAAGGGGACCUACCUAGGGUUUCGCACCCAGAGCCCUGUGAUGCUUUGGUACCUCACCCCCACGUGUCCCGGGCCCGACCCUGCCGGGAGUCACCCCCAGCCAGUCUGAGGCUGCGGGCUCCGUGGGCUGGGACCUGGGCUCUCCUGGUGCCGUUCCUCACUCCUGCCCCCCGUCUCUCCCAUCUUGGGGCUCCCCAGCCCAGCUGCAGGCCCCCUCGGCCCCAUCAGCCACGUCGAGGCCACGGGGGCUGAGAUGUGGAGGUUUCCUGAGCUCCUCGGUCCUGCAGGGCCCAGGGUGGCCUCCUCCUGGUAUGUGAACAUGACUUAGGCUCCAGCCAGCAGUAUUUUGAGCCAAAGUGGGAGAGGAGACCUGCUUUUCCGUCACCUUGAGAGCAGCAGGCGCCCAGCCUGGGGGAAAACCUGCUCACACGAGUCCCAGAUAACAGAGCACAACAUCGGCACCCAGGCCCCAUCACCCCCCGAGAGCCGCAGAAGCUGAGCAAGACCCAAUGGCUGGGACCCUGUCUCGGGGCCGCAGCACCCACCUGCCCCACUCGGGGAGGACAGGUGGCCUGGCCGGAGCCCACGGCCCGUGGUCCCGCAUCCUCAUCCUCCCAGCUGCCUCAGAGGGCCUUGGCGCUGGCAGGGUGCGCUGCGUGGGGGGCCGGCUUUAGGGGGUGGCGGGUGAACACGUAGGCCUGCCCCAGGAUGGCCAGGUCCACCAGCACCUGCAGCAGGCCGCACGCUGAGAACUGCAGGGGCGCGCCGUUCAGCAGGAAGUAGGCCGUCUUGAAGGUGUCGCCGCUCGUCCACAUGAGGACCAUCUUGAUGCUGUGGAGACACGAACGGUGGUCAGGGCUCACAGACCAUGGAUCAGGGGUCACGACCCCUGGGUCGGGGGACAUAAUCCAGGGGUCAGGGGCCAAAAUCUAGGGGUCAGGGGACAUAACCCAGUGCUUAGGGGACAUAACCCAGGGUCAGGAGACAUAACUCAGUGGUCAGGGGUCAUAAUCCAGGGGCCAGGGGACAUGCGAGGCCUCCUGUCCUGGCCAUGAAGCCACUGCGUGCAUGGCCGCAAGGACAGGAAGGCCCUUCGGCAGGAGCAGCCUCAGCUCUCCAGAGCAGGGGAGGGGCUGGCACAGGGGCCGAGCCCACACGGCCUCACAAACGUCCCAUCCUUCCUGGCUGCAGGCACAUCAGGUGUGUGUCCCUCGGGAGACACGCUGUGGCCUCAGACGGGAGAGGGAAGACCACCACCUCCUCAUGCCGCGUCCCACAGGCUGACCCUGCAGCACGAGAACUGGCCUGGGAGGGGCGGCCCUCUGCCCCCCACACCUGCACCCAGGGGUGCUAAGCAGGAAAGCAGAGGCUGCCGGGCGAAGCAGGGUGAUGCGGGCUUCUCCUGGGAAUCCCCUCCAGGCCAGGCCCCUCACUCAAAAGACAGCCUGAGGGCGAUUCCAUUCCUGGUCAUCGGUGCCACUCCCAAAGUCUGAGAUCGGUCCGUGUGGCACAGAGCGGCCCCGUGUCAUCUAUCGCUCACGUCUGCACACACCUCUCCACACACGGCAUCUAACGCCUGGUUGCCAGGUAACGGGCAUGAGCACCAUCAUGUUUUCCUGCAUAAAGUGUUUAAAUCAGACCCACUCCCACAGCAGGCACACACUGCGUGGCUCACUAAACCAGACCACGGCUUGAGGGGGGGCCGCCUGUCACAGGGAGGAGGUGAGGACCCUCAGGGACAGGAUGACACCAGGCUGGAAGCCGUCUGUGCCCCAGGUAGGGCGGGCACUUUGCGCCCCUGAGGUGGCCCCGGUUCACCCCAGAGCUGGGCGACCUCCGACCCCAGGUCAGCUCUUAUCAGUAAAACCAGGCGAGGAGCCCGUGGCCCAGUGCAGGGAUGUCCAUGUCCCCUGCUCUGCCCACAGGAGUGUCAGCCCGACCGUGCAGAACCGGGACAGGAAGUGGACAGCUCCCCUGACCUGCACCCACAGCGUCUGGAGGCUCCCGUGAUCCUUAAUCAGGAGAAUGACUCAGGGCACGGGGAGGCCCAGCAGGUUGGCUCCCGUCGACCCUGCAGCCGGCCCACCCAUCUGAACAGCCCAGCGCGUCUCGCUUGGCUUGUCGCGUUGACUCACGUGGCGUUUGAAGACUUCUGUUUUUAAUUAGCUGAUACCUAACUCUGCAUUUAAAACUCCAGGUUGUUAUAUAUCAUCAGUCCUUUUUCUCUGGCUUUCCACAUUUAUUUGACUUUGGUUUUUAGCAGUUUGUGAUGUGAUGCAUGUUUGGGACUUGCUGAACAUCUUAAAGCUGUACGGUGAUCUUGCAUCAAGUUUGGGAGGUCUUCAGCCGUUAUUUCUCCGGCAUUCUCUUCUGCACCAGUCCUUCCCCUCUCCUGUGGGCUCAGGCGACACGAAUGUUAGAUUUCAUGGUGCUGUCCCUGAGUCUGUUCUCUUUUUUUCCCCCGAUUUUUUCUCUGUUGUUCAGACUUUCACUGAUCUUCAAGUUCAUUAAUCCGUCCUGUGUCGUCACCAUUCUGCUACUGAACUACUGAAGUGUAGUUUUUAUUUAGCUACUGUAUUUUCAAGUUAAAAAUUUCGGGCUGGCUUUUCUUACAGCUUUUAUUUCUCUCCUGAGAUGGUCCGUCUUUGCAUUGAUUUAAAGAGCGUCUGCCGUUGCCCUUUAGAGCAGUUACACCAGUGCCUUGAAAAUCUGAUAAUUCCAGUAUCUGUCACCUUAGUUGACUGUUUCUCGAUUCUUUGUUGUCUGUUGAUCGUCUUUUGAGAGUUGCUGAGAUUUUCCUAUUCUUCGUGGUGAGGAACUUGGGUUUAUAUCCUAGACGUUUUUAACGUUCCAUAAGGAGACUGUCUUGCUUCAGUCCUGUGGAGAACGUCGUGUUUUAUGUUCUACCAGGGAACCGACGCGGUUGAGUUGAGUUCAAGCUGCAAGUUCUGGGUGGUUUUCAGGGGCUACGGCUCAAUUUCUGCUCAGUUUUCAAAACCACUGCGGCGCUACUCGUAUCUGCACUGUGUGGGCAGCCCUUGGUGGCCAGGCGGGGACUUGGGUGGUGGUGUGCCCCGCAGGUCCUGGAGGAGAGCCCUUCCUGCCCCUCAGACCAGGCAGAGCGGCUUCUCUCGGAGCUCUCUACCCAGCACACCAUUCUGGACUUGGGGCUGCGCCGGAGUCCAGGCUGGCAGAUGUGAAAAAACAAAACGUCAAUCCGUCUGCUCCAGCACCCAGAGCUGCUCCAUCCGUCCCGUCCGGAUUUGUAGCUGCACCCGAGGGGAAAGACGGGCCCUUCGUGGAAAAGAUCUGAGAUUAGCAGCAUUCCAUCACUGGCCACCCUGUGCCCCGUCCCACGUUUUGCUGGCCUUCGCUGACUGGUCCCUGUGGACACCUGACCUAGUAGACCCCGGACGAUGGCUGAGGAGCAGCAGGGAGAAUGCCUCACUGCUGUCAUCCCUUCUCCGUGGCAUCUGUCGCCGCAAAGUUGUGCCUCUCUCUCCGUCUGAAUUCUGUCCUGCUCUGGUGCACCAACUCGGAAUUUUAGAGUGAACUAGUGGUGUGAAAAAUGGCCUGCAGGUGACUGCAUCACGGUCCGGGGACACAGGGGACUGGACAGGGGCCGCCCACAGCGGUAUCUGGAAAGAGCAGCAGGUGGGAGCACAGGGGCUGCCCAGCAGUGGCUCGGGUCAACCUGCACACGUAGAACCCCGGGGGGAUUGCAGAGGCUGGGCGGGAGGGAGAUGCACAUGACACGGUGGAGAAACGCCCCAGAGUGACAGCUGCGGUGGGAGCGGUGUGCGCCGGGGGACUGGGCACCAGUGUGGCCGGGUGGCACCGGGAGGCUGCGGGCACCUGGGCAGACCGGAGCCACCCAUCUGAGCUACAGAGAUGCCCAGCCUGCCAGCGAGGCUGCUCCCAGCGUUCCACAGCUCGGAGCACCUCCAUUUCAAAGGAAAACCCACACCCACAGAGCAAGCAUUUCAAGGAGAAGCUCCCCCAAGCAACCGCUAUGUCUACAAAAGGCCAUGAAGACAGGAAGAGAACCAACGAGUCAUAAAUGAGUCUAGUUCCAUCUUACAGAAUUAAGAGCUGAGGCCCAGUCUCCCCCAGAGGCACCCGAACUUAAUAGGAGACUCAAAGACCCCCCCUCCAAAAACAAACAACACGGAGUGGCCUGUGCGGCCCCUUUCACAGAGGAGAGGCUGAGGCAUAGAGAAGUCGGGUGGCUUGCCCAAGGGCACACAGCGAGUGCCUUACCCUGUGGGAAGGGCUGGGGAGGGGGCGGCAGAAGGCACAGCUGGAGCCUGGCCCGGGCUGGUGUCCGUCUGGGCCCUGGAGGCACAGGUGCACCUUCACCCCACAAGUGGAGACGUGAGGUCACUGCAGAGAGCUGGGCCCUGCCUGACGCACACGAACAUUUUUAGCUGCCCAGGCGCCUCCCCGGGCCCGGCCCACAGUCAGCUCUCGCCCCGGGGGCAGGAAUCCGACAGGCCCCACCAGCAGCCCCACGUGUUGAGGGCUCGGGGCAAAUAUUAAUCAGGCUGCUCCCGGCCCGUCUAAGCAGCAGACCAGUGCCAGCCUGAGCGACGUGAGCCCUCGUGCAGGGCGCUCUGGACAUACAAGCUCGUGCCUCGCACCCUCUGGUCACCCCAGACCCUGCGGUGCCCUGUGGACGUGUGCCGAGCCCAGGCCCAUUCUCCCCACACGGGUGUUAGGUCAUCCUUUACCCUCAACAGCUAUCGGGCAGGGCGAGCCCCGAGGCUUGGCUACCACUGGCCAGCAGGCCAGGGACGUCCUCGUGGACACCACGUCCGGAGCUCGCCUGCUGCGCACGGCUGGGUCUCCAGGAAGACCCCUCCUCGACAGAGGGCUCAGCUGGCCCAGGGCUCCAGUGAUGCGGGGGGCGCAGGGCUCAGAGAACCUUGCAGAAGCCGGUCUGGGUGGGAGGGGAGACUGUCCCCAGGCUGCAUUCCUCCAGCUCAGGGGGCGCCGGGAAGCUGGAUUCCGUUUUCUAGGUCCCCCCUCACACCGGGCCCCACCCCAGCUGCUGCCUCAAAUGCCUGGCCCUCCCCGCCCUCGUGCUAUUUUAAUCCGGGCCCCCGGUACCUCAUUCUUGGCUCCAGCAUGUUUCCUCCCCAAGUGAGCAGGCAGAUGACUAUUCCUAAAAUACCUCUCACCUCAUCCUCGCCCCAUCCGGCCGUCCAGAAAGCCUCCGCCCGGCCAGUGCCCACGAGGUGAGAGCCUCACCCCUGCGCCUACCCCGGCCCCGCCAGCAGCCCACACACCUCCCCGGCCGCGCCUCAUUCCCACCUCCCGGCCCGGGCCACACCUACCCUCCUGUCCGCCUAUCCAAAGCUCCCCGAAAUUCAAACCCUACCCAGAACACAUCCCACAGGAGUAGGUCUUUGUGACCGUGGGUCACAAGAAACAAUGGUUUCUCGGGUGUGACAUCCAAAGCAUAGCAGUUUUUAAAAAAGAUCCAUUGGACUCCAUCAAAGUCAAAUCUUGUGCUGCAGCGUGAAAAGCCAGCACACAGCGGGAGAGGAUAUCUGCAAAUCAUGUAUCUGUAAGAACAGUUAAAGAUCUCUACAACUCAAUAAUGAAAGACAGCUAACCAAAUUUUUAAAUGGGCAAAGAAUCUGGAUAGACCUUUCUCUAAAGAAAACGCAUAAAUGGCCAAUAAUCACAGGAAAAGGUGUUUGAUGUCAUUAGUCACCAGAGAAACGCAAAUCAAAGCCACAGGAGAUCCCACUUCACACCCACGAGGAUGGCUACAAUCAAGGGGUCAGAGGGUAACAGGCGUUGGUGAGGGUGUGGAAAAGCCAGAACCCCCGAACACCCCUGGUGGGGACAGAAGAUGGUGCAGCCACCAACUCAGCAAUCCCACUGCUAGGUGUAUUCCAAGACAAAGGAAAACAUACAUCCACACAGAAACUGGUACACAAAUGUUCACAGAAGCACUUUCACAACAGCCGAAAAGAUGUCAAACCCAAAUGUCUACCAGCUGAAGAAGACAUAAGCAAAACCUGAUCUGUCCGCACACUGAAAUAUUAUCCAACCUUAGAAAAGAUGGACGCUGACAGAUCGUACGUGGACGGACCUUGGGAACAUUAUGCAGAGUGAACGCAGCGAAGGACCUCGCAUCGUCUGAUUCCAUUUACAUGACGUGCCCUGAGCACAGAGCCGCAGAGACGGAAAGCAGACCAGUGGUUGCCCAGGCCUGGCGGCGAGGGUGGGGGAAACGGGGAGUACUGAUGGGUGUGAGGCUGCUUCCUGGGUGACGAGAAUGUCCUAAAAUUAGAUUGUGGUGACGGCUGCACAACUCUUUGGAAGUCCUAAACUCCACUGAAUUGCGUACUUUAAAUGGCGAUGGUGUGACAGGUUACAUCUCAAGGAAGUUUUUUUUUCUUUUAAGUUCCAGGGCUUUUGCUGAAUUCUAAUUCCAGCCCUCCUCGUCCAUCGACUGGACCCUGGGUGUGGCGUGUGCGCACAUGUGCAGGGGUGUGUGGCGUGUGCGUGUGUGUACUGUGGCGGAGAAGCGUGUGUGGGAGCCCAGGCGUGCGCUGUUACCACGUGCAUGGCAUUCUCCGCUCACACCAUUGUGGGCUGAUUACGUGUCAAGGACGACAGAGGAAGAUGAGUGGGGGCUGAGAAGUGACGUACGUGCGGCCCCCGGGGGAGACGCCACCCUGAUUCCCGAGCAGCCAAGGCAAGGCUCCAGGCGCCCAGCUCCAGGUUCAAGGGCAACGCCGGAGCCGGACCAGGUGGACACUUCCCGGACGCUUUCCGUCAAGGCAGGAAGUGUCCCCGCUGGGACAAGGCAGCGGGCUGGGGCAUCCCCACCAUACCACGGGGGCCGCGCACGCACACACGCACGCGCCUACACACGACCUCCUCUCGUGGCCCCUGCUCGCUCCCGGGCUUCCCGCCUGCCCCUCCCCCUCCUCAAUCGUAACCGGUUCCCGGAUGGUUUUCCCCACAGCUGGCCUCCUCUUCCAGUCCCACCCGCCCCCAGGCUCUCCAGUAAUUACUUGUUGGGGAACAUCUUCCGAUCCGGCCAAAACGCGGAGGAAGGAGGAGGGAACUUCCGCACUAAUUAGUAACAUGAUUUCAAAAGCGACAGCACUUUCUCGUACUGGUUCAGAAGCAACAGUCACUCAACAUUUUGUAAAGGGAAAUCAUCAAGUAUCUCUUGCAUUUCCUCCAAGAAAUGUACGUGUGUGAAAAUGAGUGUGUGCAUGUGUGUGUGUGAGCAUAUGUGCAUGUGUGUGUUUGAGAAUCUGUGCGUUUGUGCGAGUGUGUGCAUGUGAGCGUGUGCACACACCUGUGCGCGUGGGCUCACACCCUCUAAAGGCGUCAUGGGUAGGCCCUUCCAAGCAGGUCCACAGGAGAUGAAGCUGGCCCUCAGACAGGACCUCACAGCCCCUCCCUUCUUACACCUCCUGACGGUCUUCUGUCUGAAGCAAGUUGAGGCUGAGUGUCUGCAGCAGAUCUGUGGUGGCCCUGACCACAGGGCUCUGAGAAUCCCAAAUCCCAGCGGGUCCAGGGCUUCUCCAUCAGAGAAGGUCAGGGGGUGAAGCAGCCCUCCCGGCGGGCUCCCUGGAUGGAUGCCUGAGGACGCUGGGUCAGGCCACGCAGAGCGGCUGCUGGGAAGUGGGGACGAGGGGCAGAGGCAGCCCUGAGACCAAGUCCUGAGUCCGGGCCUGGGUGCAGGAGAGGGAGGAAGGCCUCUGGUCCUCUGCUUGGGACGGGAGCAACCAACCUCAGGAGGCUCCUGUGUCCAUGCCGAGGGGGGCUGACCAUGCAGCCGGCCGGAGGGUCCUGUGUCGGGGCAAGUUCUGGUCUGAACCUGGGCUGAACCGACCCUGCUAAGUGCACACAGGGAGCCCCAGCCUCUCUCUUCCAGGCCGGGAUGUGGAAAGCGCAAGGGGCGCUUUCCUCACAGCCCCACCCUCCUCGCCCCACCCAGGGGCCCGCGAUCCGCCCCGUAGGAAUCAGGCUACAACGUGACAGGCUGGACACUCGGGGGCAACCAUGCUCGCCACAGCUCAGGCUCCAGCGGGCAUCCAGGCUCCCUGAACACACGGGUGGCAUCGUGCUGGCCCUGGGGACGAGGGAAGGGUCAGACGCAGGUCAGACCAGCCCGGGCUGCACAGGGAAACCUAAGAGUCUCAUUUUCAGGAUCGUGGAAUCGGAUUUGCUGACGUGUGACAGCCAAGCUGUUCUGAAGACACGUCACUGAGCAAGGAAAGAAGGCCCCACCCUGGGGACAAAGUGACAAAACGGAGCUUGGCAGGGAUGGAGCAGAGACCGCGGUGGGGCUGAGGGAAGACCCAGGAGAGGGACGCGCGGAGGCCCGGGUGCCCGUGAGCUGCGCUGGGAGAAGCCUGUGCCGGCGUUGCACUGUUUACGCACCUGCUUCAGGUUUAAUCCAUCAAUGCGUGAAAAUUCCUUUACCUUAGAGUUUCUCUUACACAGACUUCUUCGAAGAAGCACAAAUUUUACAGGAAACAAAACUGUAACCAGGCUCCAGCCCUGUACUCACUCUCUUUCUCAGCACUCAGUCUGUGCUCACGGCUAAGAAAAAGGGUGUUGGCCCUUUAAAUACACACAGAGCAAGGUCACCUCUCUGUUAACUCCAGCUGAGCAGAGAACCUGUGACCCUCCCGUCACCUCCGGUCACCUGUAGGACACGCCACCCCACACCACACGCAGAGGCCCCCAGCGGCCUGGCCCUGCAGACCCUCCCACGGAGCCCUGCCACGACAGCAACGCUGAACAGGCCCCUAACCUAAUCACACCUCCACCCAGAGCCGGCUCUGAGCGGCAGGGCCCACGAUUAGGUUAGUCGUCUUAACGAGGACGAGUGGGGCUCUUGAGAGGACCCUGCACUCCAAGCUGAUUGAAUUAGCGGCCCGUGCCCAUGUCCGUGACAGAGACUGCCCCCCUCCGCUGGCUCCGGGCCCUGCUCGGGCCCCGCCGGCUGGCAUGGAGCGGGUCUUCGUCCCCGCGCAGCCGGGCCUUCUUGCGACCUGCUCGCGGCACUGACCGCAGUCUCCUUCCCUUCCCUUCCGCCUUUGCCUUCUGUCUCCUUUACCCAGUGCCACCAGGCAGGCGGGUGGUCUGUUGGGGGGAGGGCACUGGGGGAGAGGAGCUGCGGUCACCAAAGGCUGAUGACCACACGCAUCCUUUCCGCCCUAAAGUCAGAACCUCAGGAGCACGUGCACCACCCGGGCUUCCUCCUUUCAGGUCCAACGCCCCAGGUACCAGGGCCUUCUGCGCAUCCUGUCACUCCCGAGGUCACCCUGAGACAGGAAGGGGGAUGGCCACGCCCACGGCCGCGCUUCUGCAGAGCAGCACAGACCUCUGUGGUGCGGCCUGGCGUCUUUCCAACACUGCCUUUGCUGGCUGAGUCACCACAGCCCCACCAGGGACAAUUCCCACUGGGGCCUUCUGCAACUUUUGCUGUUGUGCACAAAUUCUCCAAGAACUAGCCCGAUCAGCUAGGUACCCACACUGGUAAAUCUUCCACAUUCAUACCUGCUUCCCCAAGUGUUCUCACUUUCCCGAAAGUGAUUUCGAGUAUCAACUAUUUUAGUCCUUCAUGAGUUCAUUCAAUAAAUAUUUACUGAACUGAACUGCUGUAAUUUUCCAAGCACACUGUCAGGUGCUGGGGAAAGAAAGAAACAGGAUACAGUCCUUGCCUUCAAGGCUGUCAGUCAAGUAGAUGAGCUGGGCAAAUUAAAACAUCCGUGCAUCACUGUCAGAUGGCAAGGAUGUUUCUGGAGAAACAUGGAGACGGUGGUCAGAUAAAAGGAGGUUUAGAAGGUCAGCCUUUUAAAAGACAGCUGCAGUCAUGUGUCCCAUACCCAAGAUAAGAGGAUCGCACACAAAAACAAAGGGUUAGUUAAAAUCAGGUGUGACACAAACUUCAGCUUCUUGGAAGACAGAAUCGUCUCCCUGUUCCUCCCCCAUACACCCUGGACAUUACACAGAGACACAAGACUCUCAAAGGUGGGGAAAAGGCCACAGGAAUGCCAGACUUGGAGCUGAAGAAGCAGGAAAUGCCAGGAGGCCCCAGGAACAGGGUGUUCUCUGUGCAAAAGACCAGGAAGGGUGCAGCCUGGCAGAAUAGGCAACUUUAGCCAAUAACUGCUCUACUCCAAACAAAACAGAAAAAAAGGCAGCCCCACCACCACCCGUGAUAGCAGAGGAGGGUGGAAAUCCUAGACGUUUACUCCUGCCAGGCGUCCCAAUCCCCUGGUGGUAAGAGUGUCCCUCUGCAAAGGAAAACAGGGUCCGGCUGCUGGGUCCUGAAAGGCCAAUAAAGAGGCAAAGUUGGUGGAAAAAAAAAAAAAAUUAUAAGUGGAGGGAAACAUCACAUAUAUAAAAUAUACUACAUUAAAAAUAUCACAAAGGGAGGUAGAGUUUCUACACUUCACUAAAAAAAUCUAUACAGAGAGAUACCCACUCAAAAACACCAUAGAUAAAUACUCAUUAAACAAUAACUCCCCAUCCUCCCCUCUUCCUAGCCCCUGGCAACCACCAUUCGACUUUCUGUCUAUGAAUCUGAUGCCCCUCAGUCCCUCGUAUAAGUGGAACCGUACGGUAUUUGUCCUUUUGUGACUGAGCACGUCCUCACGACUCCAUGAAGUAACCUGUGUCAGAACUUCCUUCCUGUUAAGACUGAAUAAUAUUCCAUUGUAUGGACAGACCACAUUUUGUUUAUCUAUUCAUCCACUGAUGGACACUUGGGUUGCUUCCGUGUUUUACCUGUUAUGAAUAAUGCUAUUAUGUUAUGAACAUGGGUGUACAAUAUCUCUUCAAGACCCUGCUUUCAAUUCUCUUGGUUAUAUGCCCAGAAGUAGAAUUGCUGGGUCACACUGUAAUUCUAUUUUUAAUAUUUUGAGGAAAUGCCAUAUUGCUCUCCACAGCAGCUGGACCACUUUGCAUUCCCACCAAGAAUUCCAAUCUUUGCCCAUCCUUUACCAACAAGAAUUCCAAUCUUUGCCCAUCCUUUACCAACACUUGCUGUUCUGUUUUAUUGACAGUCACCAUCCAAACGGGUGAGAGGUGGCAUCUCACCGUAGUUUUCAUUGUACAGGUCUUCCACCUCCUUGGUUAAGUUAAUUCCUAAGCAUUUUUUGCUUUUUGAUGUUCUCAUAAAUGGAACUGUGCCUGAGGGAGGCAGGGAGCGCCUGAGACCUGCUCUUGGUGGUGCUAAGGGGGAGGAGGCUGCCGCGUCGUUUCCUACAUUAAAGGGCUUGAACCUUCUGCCUUCGGGAGACAUCUGUGGACCCCGCCUCCCGUCCAUGGCCCGCAGUGAGCUGCUUCACGGGAGGGUCUCGGCUUCCCCUCACCUGUCGCACAGGAGCACACCUGCUUGUACGUCAAGAGGUCAGAAGACCAGCGUCCUAACCCGAAGCUAGUCUUGAACUGAAAGCGAAGCAGCAGAUGUGCGCAUGGGUCCCUGCCGCGCCCCUACCUCAUGCCCUCCGUGGACACGGGUCCCUGCCGCGCCCCUACCUCAUGCCCUCCGUGGACACGGGUCCCUGCCGCGCCCCUACCUCAUGCCCUCCGUGGACUGGUGGCGGUGGUUGCGGCAGAGCUGCGGCAUGCCCAGCAUGGCCUCGGUCAGCACGGCCAGGAAGCCCAGGCUCUCCACGAAAAGGGCCGAGUCGAUGGACAGGUAGGUGACACAGCCCGCCACACCGGUGAAGGCCAGGACACACUGCACGUAGUCCCCAAAGCUGUCCCAGUGCCAAAAGUGCUGGGGGUCGAGGUCUAGGGCGAAAGGGAGAGAAACGUGAACGAGGUGUGCAGGCCAAGGUCAGUGGGGGAGGACGGGACCGAGUGAG